Molecule: ribosomal RNA, 460 nt
Filed under: uncultured bacterium
Lineage: Bacteria
Description: partial 16S ribosomal RNA
Rfam family: Bacterial small subunit ribosomal RNA
Source: RNAcentral
CCUACGGGGCGCUGCAGUGAGGAAUAUUGGUCAAUGGACGCAAGUCUGAACCAGCCAUGCCGCGUGCAGGAAGACGGCUCUAUGAGUUGUAAACUGCUUUUGUACGAGGGUAAACGCAGAUACGCGUAUCUGUCUGAAAGUAUCGUACGAAUAAGGAUCGGCUAACUCCGUGCCAGCAGCCGCGGUAAUACGGAGGAUUCAAGCGUUAUCCGGAUUUAUUGGGUUUAAAGGGUGCGUAGGCGGUCGGAUAAGUUAGCGGUGAAAUCCCGAGGCUCAACUUCGGAAUUGCCUCUGAUACGGUUCGGAUAGAGAGUAGUUGAGGUAGGCGGAAUGUAUGGUGUAGCGGUGAAAUGCGGAGAGAUCGUACAGAACACCGAUUGCGAAGGCAGCUUACCAAGCUACUUGUGACGUUGAGGCACGAAAGCGUGGGGAGCAAACAGGAGUAGAGACCCGUGUAGUC